Molecule: unclassified non-coding RNA, 197 nt
Filed under: plant metagenome
Description: partial contains small subunit ribosomal RNA and internal transcribed spacer 1
Rfam family: Eukaryotic small subunit ribosomal RNA (bases 1-46)
Source: RNAcentral
AAGUCGUAACAGGGUCUCCGUUGGUGAACCAGCGGAGGGAUCAUUACCGAGUUUACAACUCCCAAACCCUGUGAACAUACCUUAAUGUUGCCUCGGCGGAUCAGCCCGCGCCCCGUAAAACGGGACGGCCCGCCAGAGGACCCAAACUCUAAUGUUUCUUAUUGUAACUUCUGAGUAAAACAAACAAAUAAAUCAAA